UACGGAGGGUGCAAGCAUUAAUCGGAUUUACUGGGCGUAAAGGGCGCGUAGGCGGUCAGCACAAGUCAGUUGUGAAAUCUCCGGGCUUAACUCGGAAAGGUCAACUGAUACUGUGCGACUAGAGUGCGGAAGGGGCAACUGGAAUUCUCGGUGUAGCGGUGAAAUGCGUAGAUAUCGAGAGGAACACCUGCGGCGAAGGCGGGUUGCUGGGCCGACACUGACGCUGAUGCGCGAAAGCCAGGGGAGCGAACGGG
This 254-nucleotide ribosomal RNA is filed under the name uncultured bacterium. Its description in RNAcentral is "partial 16S ribosomal RNA". It matches the Rfam family "Bacterial small subunit ribosomal RNA", at positions 524 to 776 of the family's 1533-position model. The record is from RNAcentral.